Molecule: ribosomal RNA, 119 nt
Filed under: Pteropus alecto (black flying fox)
Lineage: Eukaryota; Metazoa; Chordata; Mammalia; Chiroptera; Pteropodidae
Source: RNAcentral
GUCUAUAGCCAUGCUACCCUGAACAAGCCAGAUCCCGUCUGAUCUCAGAAGCUACGCAGGAUCAGGCCUGGUUAGUACUUGGAUGGGAGACCACCUAGGAAGACCAGGUGCUGUAGGUA